Molecule: transfer RNA, 77 nt
Filed under: Candidatus Bathyarchaeota archaeon
Lineage: Archaea; Thermoproteati; Candidatus Bathyarchaeota
Description: tRNA-Thr
Rfam family: tRNA
About the family: Transfer RNA (tRNA) molecules are approximately 80 nucleotides in length. Their secondary structure includes four short double-helical elements and three loops (D, anti-codon, and T loops).
Source: RNAcentral
GCCCUCGUUGCCUAGUCGGUUAGGGCGUCAGCCUUGUAAGCUGAAGAUCCCGGGUUCGAAUCCCGGCGAGGGCUCCA